CGUUAAAAUAAUUUUUCGCCAAAUUUUCGCAUUUGUUGUUUUUGCGAAAUAUGGCUAAAAUUUAACAUUUUAAUCUUCGAACGCCACUCAAUAGGAAAUUUUAUUACGAGUUCAACGAUAUAUGACAUUCCAUAUUUAGACCAUUCCUUUUAUGGAAUCGUAUUAUUUUGGAAGACUGUUUAUCCUGCACCUUGUUUCUACUUUAUUAUUGUCGCUUCUUAUUACGACUUGUGGUGAUGUUCUUUGUUUAAUGCAUUGUUUCUCGUAUCGUUAGUAGUCGGUAAUGAAUCAGAUAGUGUUUUCUUAUUUGUGGAUCAGAUCAGAUUUCGCUAUGUAUGUGAAAAAUGCAGCACCGUACUUCAAAAUUUCUCUUCGACUGCAACGUGAAUCAUUUCGCUGUGGAACUUUCGUUGGGAAAGGUAACCAGUUUUCCGCGUCGUGCUUUUAGUUCUAUGAAAACGAAAGUGAAGCUCACAAAUGUGGGUUAAUGCUCGCUGCGUUCGGCACUCUGUAUAUUCACGUCAAUUUCUAGAAGUAGGAUUGAAAUGGUGUAAUUUCAAAAAUUGGAAUACUUCUAUAAUGCCUUGAGUUUUUGGGGCCGACGCUGCGUAUGGGUAAUAAAAGAUCCAAAGCAGGAGAAUUGUAAGUGGGGUUCUCCAUGUGUGACGGACGCGAACAAACACGGAGAUAGGUCAUCAGUGGUCACAUGGGGAUCCAUCCGAGUGAACGCUUAAUUCAAGUUGAAGGCUUUAUUGAGGCGGCUAAACAAACGCACCUUGGUGCCAAUUUCGGUGCUCAUUUGUUGUUUUUGUCAUGUUUUAUCAACUUUGUUGUCUCUGUGGUGUUUACCUUGCACAGCCGCCGCUUUUCGACACCCACGGAUAUGGAAAAAAAAAGACAUAAAAGAGGCAACGACGGAGGCCUAGACGCCACACGUGGGUCGUGAAAGUUCAAGGCUGCAACAGGUAGACACAACGCACAAACAGAGUGGGUUUACCUGGCAGAUGUGCCCGAAUAUCCGAGGCGCAAAACCAACCAAACGAGCUCCUCCUCGCGGCGGUGGCACAAGGAACAUGGAACCAGGGAUUGGAGAUCUCUUGUGUACGGCUACUUUCCAAUUACAGCAAACGCCGCCUAAUGCGAACGAAGGCAUGGAAAGUUAAUGCCAAUCAACAAGGACUUCUACGCAACAAGCCCGCGCUAUUGAGGUUCGACUGUACUGUGGAUACCAAGGCCCGUGAGUUGCGGAAUGCGCUGCAAUUUGUCUGCUGGCACUACUGAUACCGCUGCAUUGUUACCGCCUUGUUGCAUGCAGCAUGCCACGUCCACGCUCACGUAUGUGUGCAACUUCUUACAUGACGUGGGCGCUGGCAUUUCCUCGAUGCGGUGCACCCAACCCGAAAUGCAAACCCGGAAAAUGUGCAAGAGACUGCAGCACGAAGCGCACCACGCCGUUAUGAUUGAGUAAUUACGUUUGAAAAUCGAGUAAAUGGCCAAGUUCAAAAGCUCUUAGCUGGCUUGCUUCAUCGCUAUAAAUUUAA
This is a long non-coding RNA of Drosophila yakuba, 1541 nucleotides long. RefSeq lists it as uncharacterized. The record is from RefSeq and is a predicted model, not a curated record. NCBI's taxonomy places the organism in Eukaryota, Metazoa, Arthropoda, Insecta, Diptera, Drosophilidae. The transcript has 2 exons.